Molecule: ribosomal RNA, 696 nt
Filed under: uncultured bacterium
Lineage: Bacteria
Description: bacterial SSU rRNA
Rfam family: Bacterial small subunit ribosomal RNA
Source: RNAcentral
AACGCUAGCUACAGGCUUAACACAUGCAAGUCGAGGGGAAACGACAUCGAAAGCUUGCUUUUGAUGGGCGUCGACCGGCGCACGGGUGAGUAACGCGCAUCCAACCUGCCCACCACUUGGGGAUAACCUUGCGAAAGUAAGACUAAUACCCAAUGACGUCUCUAGGAGACAUCUGAAAGAGAUUAAAGAUUUAUCGGUGAUGGAUGGGGAUGCGUCUGAUUAGCUUGUUGGCGGGGUAACGGCCCACCAAGGCGACGAUCAGUAGGGGUUCUGAGAGGAAGGUCCCCCACAUUGGAACUGAGACACGGUCCAAACUCCUACGGGAGGCAGCAGUGAGGAAUAUUGGUCAAUGGACGAGAGUCUGAACCAGCCAAGUAGCGUGCAGGAUGACGGCCCUAUGGGUUGUAAACUGCUUUUAUAAGGGAAUAAAGUGGGAGUCGUGACUCUUUUUGCAUGUACCUUAUGAAUAAGGACCGGCUAAUUCCGUGCCAGCAGCCGCGGUAAUACGGAAGGUUCGGGCGUUAUCCGGAUUUAUUGGGUUUAAAGGGAGCGUAGGCCGGAGAUUAAGCGUGUUGUGAAAUGUAGAUGCUCAACAUCUGAACUGCAGCGCGAACUGGUUUCCUUGAGUACGCACAAAGUGGGCGGAAUUCGUGGUGUAGCGGUGAAAUGCUUAGAUAUCACGAAGAACUCCGAUUG